GUAAUGCCGGAUGCUCCAGUUGAUCGCAUGGUCUUCUGGGAAAGCUUUCGCGGUAUGGGAUGGGGUCGCGUCCUAUCAGCUUGACGGCGGGGUAACGGCCCACCGUGGCUUCGACGGGUAGCCGGCCUGAGAGGGCGACCGGCCACAUUGGGACUGAGAUACGGCCCAGACUCCUACGGGAGGCAGCAGUGGGGAAUAUUGCACAAUGGGCGCAAGCCUGAUGCAGCGACGCCGCGUGAGGGAUGGAGGCCUUCGGGUUGUAAACCUCUUUUAUCGGGGAGCAAGCGAGAGUGAGUUUACCCGUUGAAUAAGCACCGGCUAACUACGUGCCAGCAGCCGCGGUAAUACGUAGGGUGCAAGCGUUAUCCGGAAUUAUUGGGCGUAAAGGGCUCGUAGGCGGUUCGUCGCGUCCGGUGUGAAAGUCCAUCGCUUAACGGUGGAUCCGCGCCGGGUACGGGCGGGCUUGAGUGCGGUAGGGGAGACUGGAAUUCCCGGUGUAACGGUGGAAUGUGUAGAUAUCGGAA
RNAcentral lists this ribosomal RNA (524 nucleotides) under Bifidobacterium longum subsp. suillum. RNAcentral's name for it is "bacterial SSU rRNA". It matches the Rfam family "Bacterial small subunit ribosomal RNA", at positions 163 to 702 of the family's 1533-position model. Lineage: Bacteria; Bacillati; Actinomycetota; Actinomycetes; Bifidobacteriales; Bifidobacteriaceae. The record is from RNAcentral.